UUUACACUACAAGAAAACAGCUGAUUGCCGACUAUGCAUAACGACUAUAGAAGUAGUCGCUUAAUUUUGUGACUGUAUAGCCACUAUUUGGCGACUAUUAUACGACUAUUUGUGAUUAGUCGUUCAUGAGUCGCCAUUUAGCGACUAUAUAACCGAGUCGCUAUCUCAAUCGCCUUUUAGUCGGAAAUCAGUAGCUAUUUAAGUAACCUAAAUCUAUAUACAUAGAUACCAAAUUAAGAUUUUGAAACUUAUAUCCUAACCCUAAAUAUAGACCCUAACCCUUAAAUAAACCCCAAUAACUAAAUCAAACACUAGUUAUAAUUUUUUAAAACUUAAUAUCCCUAUAAUUAAAACUUAUAAUAUAUAACAUUAUCUAUAUAUAUACC
RNAcentral lists this long non-coding RNA (386 nucleotides) under Arabidopsis lyrata. Its description in RNAcentral is "long non-coding RNA (ALYR_LNC002711)". The record is from RNAcentral. Lineage: Eukaryota; Viridiplantae; Streptophyta; Magnoliopsida; Brassicales; Brassicaceae.